This 399-nucleotide ribosomal RNA is filed under the name uncultured bacterium. RNAcentral describes it as "partial 16S ribosomal RNA". It matches the Rfam family "Bacterial small subunit ribosomal RNA", at positions 355 to 746 of the family's 1533-position model. The record is from RNAcentral.
UGGGGAAUAUUGCACAAUGGGCGCAAGCCUGAUGCAGCCAUGCCGCGUGUGUGAAGAAGGCCCUCGGGUUGUAAAGCACUUUCAGCGAGGAGGAAGGGUUCAGUGUUAAUAGCACUGUUCAUUGACGUUACUCGCAGAAGAAGCACCGGCUAACUCCGUGCCAGCAGCCGCGGUAAUACGGAGGGUGCAAGCGUUAAUCGGAAUUACUGGGCGUAAAGCGCACGCAGGCGGUUUGUUAAGUCAGAUGUGAAAUCCCCGCGCUUAACGUGGGAACUGCAUUUGAAACUGGCAAGCUAGAGUCUUGUAGAGGGGGGUAGAAUUCCAGGUGUAGCGGUGAAAUGCGUAGAGAUCUGGAGGAAUACCGGUGGCGAAGGCGGCCCCCUGGACAAAGACUGACGC